UCCUACGGGUGGCAGCAGUGAGGAAUAUUGGUCAAUGGACGCAAGUCUGAACCAGCCAUGCCGCGUGAAGGAUGAAGGCCUUCUGGGUUGUAAACUUCUUUUAUGUGGGAAGAAAAGCAUUGUUUCUACGAUGUCCGACGGUACCACAGGAAUAAGCACCGGCUAACUCCGUGCCAGCAGCCGCGGUAAUACGGAGGGUGCAAGCGUUAUCCGGAUUCACUGGGUUUAAAGGGUGUGUAGGCGGGCAAUUAAGUCAGUGGUGAAAUCUCCGGGCUCAACCUGGAAACUGCCAUUGAUACUAUUUGUCUUGAAUAUUGUUGAGGUGGGCGGAAUAAGUCAUGUAGCGGUGAAAUGCAUAGAUAUGACUUAGAACACCAAUUGCGAAGGCAGCUCACUAAACAAUGAUUGACGCUGAGGCACGAAAGCGUGGGGAUCAAACAGGAUUAGAUACCCCUGUAGUC
This 461-nucleotide ribosomal RNA is filed under the name uncultured bacterium. Its description in RNAcentral is "bacterial SSU rRNA". It matches the Rfam family "Bacterial small subunit ribosomal RNA", at positions 337 to 795 of the family's 1533-position model. The record is from RNAcentral.